RNAcentral lists this transfer RNA (76 nucleotides) under Erysipelotrichaceae bacterium. RNAcentral's name for it is "tRNA-Thr". It matches the Rfam family "tRNA". Rfam says of the family: Transfer RNA (tRNA) molecules are approximately 80 nucleotides in length. Lineage: Bacteria; Bacillati; Bacillota; Erysipelotrichia; Erysipelotrichales; Erysipelotrichaceae. The record is from RNAcentral.
GCCGAUUUAGCUCAUCCGGUAGAGCAACGCACUCGUAACGCGUAGGUGGCUGGUUCAAGUCCGGCAAUCGGCACCA